This 497-nucleotide ribosomal RNA is filed under the name uncultured bacterium. RNAcentral's name for it is "partial 16S ribosomal RNA". It matches the Rfam family "Bacterial small subunit ribosomal RNA", at positions 28 to 507 of the family's 1533-position model. The record is from RNAcentral.
GAUGAACGCUGGCGGCGUGCCUAAUACAUGCAAGUCGAGCGAACGGACGAGAAGCUUGCUCCUCUGAUGUUAGCGGCGGACGGGUGAGUAACACGUGGAUAACCUACCUAUAAGACUGGGAUAACUUCGGGAAACCGGAGCUAAUACCGGAUAAUAUUUUGAACCGCAUGGUUCAAAAGUGAAAGACGGUCUUGCUGUCACUUAUAGAUGGAUCCGCGCUGCAUUAGCUAGUUGGUAAGGUAACGGCUUACCAAGGCAACGAUGCAUAGCCGACCUGAGAGGGUGAUCGGCCACACUGGAACUGAGACACGGUCCAGACUCCUACGGGAGGCAGCAGUAGGGAAUCUUCCGCAAUGGGCGAAAGCCUGACGGAGCAACGCCGCGUGAGUGAUGAAGGUCUUCGGAUCGUAAAACUCUGUUAUUAGGGAAGAACAUAUGUGUAAGUAACUGUGCACAUCUUGACGGUACCUAAUCAGAAAGACACGGCUAACUACGUG